RNAcentral lists this ribosomal RNA (252 nucleotides) under uncultured bacterium. RNAcentral's name for it is "partial 16S ribosomal RNA". It matches the Rfam family "Bacterial small subunit ribosomal RNA", at positions 524 to 776 of the family's 1533-position model. The record is from RNAcentral.
UACGUAGGGGGCUAGCGUUAUCCGGAAUUACUGGGCGUAAGGGGUGCGUAGGUGGUUUCUUAAGUCAGAGGUGAAAGGCUACGGCUCAACCGUAGUAAGCCUUUGAAACUGGGAAACUUGAGUGCAGGAGAGGAGAGUGGAAUUCCUAGUGUAGCGGUGAAAUGCAUAGAUAUCACGCAGAACUCCGAUUGCGAAGGCAGCGUACCGGCAUCCAACUGACGCUGAGGCACGAAAGCGUGGGGAUCAAACAGG